UCCUCCGGGAGGAUGUGGAAAUAGGUGAGGGCUCUCCGACCCCGACGGGCAGCCUGGUACCCGCAAGCGGCUUUCUUCCAACGGACGCCCCCAGAGGAUCCACGCACGUCUAGGGCAGGAGCGAGAACACAACAGAGGAGCGACGGUGGAAACAGAAAAUCCACGAUCUCCAUCUCCUUCAAAAUCGGCUACCAAAUAUUCUCAAUCGGAAAACUUCCUUCGUGAUCCUUCAUGGCUCAGUGUGUGACCCUAAACUGGAUCUCCUCAACGCUUAUUUAUUCAGUCUACUCUCUACUCUUUUGCACAUCUGGAAUCUUCCCAAGUUGUGAAGAGCCCUAUGGAGAAGUCCACGUGGCAAGGAACUGAUUUCUCUGGCUAACAGCCAGCGAGAACCUGAGUCUUGCCAAUGGCAAUGUGAGUGAGCUUGGAAGUGAAUCCUCCUAAAGUCAAGUUUUGAGAUGACUCAAGUCCUGGCCGACACUUUGAUUGUAGCCUUGUAAGAGACUGCGACCAGAGGCCAACUAAAUGUGUCUGGAUUCUUGACCCACAGAAAUAUAUUUUGCAAGUUCCAGAAGACUCCAUCCCACACAAGAUAGUGAAUCGAAGUGUCACAGAAGACUGAAUUUCCUCAGUAUUUCACAAGGAAACAAGCGUGGAAAUUUAAAAAUAGAUCAAGGGAUGCUCAGAGGGCAGCUCCCUAGCAACCCGGACUGCAUUGCUGGUAUGCUAACACGAGUAGCCUGCAUUCUGCCAGGAAACAAUGAAAAGAUGGAGAGUUUAUUGAUAGUCUUUGUGCCUGGUGCCAUGAAGCUUGUUUUUGAGGCUCUGAUGUGAAGGGGAAAAAAAAUCCUGCAUGUCAUAUUGCUGCAGAGUACAGGCGCCCUGGUGCGCACCGUGAAAAUAUCAUAGAAGAAUAUGACAUCAAAUUGUCUGCCUACAAUGAUACCAUCUCUUAUUAAAAUAAAAAGAAGAAAGGUAUAGAGACUAACAAUGCAUCUCCUUUUCUCGCUCAGAUUUCACACAAGGGAAGUUACCUGGAUGUUCAAAAUGUUGAAACAUGUCUUUGUGUCAAAAGUGGAAUAAUUAAGCAUUCAGUGCUAGCCCAUUAACCAGAUGUGCCCCCCACCUUUUUUUUUUUUCUUUUUGGCUUGCUUUUUCAAGAAGACUUUCGAAGGAAAAUGUCAAGUAAAUUACUUCUAUUCAAAAUGGUUUUCCUUCCUCCCUUCUUUUCCUUCCUUCCAAGACAGCAGUGUCAAAUGUGUGGCCACUUUUUGUACAAACAAAUAUUUUUCUUUCUUUGACUUUUUUUAAAUAGUGAAAAAUAUAGCAAUAAAAAAGUAAAAAGAGAAAUACAAUGAACUUUCAGAUUUGUAUUAGUAAGCUUAAGGAAUAAAACUUCACAAAUGCUAUUGAAAUGCACGUUUUUACCUCCAACUAUAUUCCUUUGUCAAUACCCUUAGGGGUAACCAUUCCCCAGAACUUGGUAAUUAUCAUUCCCAAGCAUUUCUUUAUACCUUCAUUCUAUAUGUGUCUAUAUGUAAACCAUAUCAAUUGUCAAGUUUUCAAACUUGUGUGUUGUUGUAUUGUACAAUUUGCUCUUUUUAUUCUACAACUUGCUUUAUUUUAACUCAAAAUUGUGUUUCUGAGAUGUAUUCAUGUUAGUUCAUUUGUUUUCAGUUCAUAUACUGUCUGCUUGAAUAAAU
Molecule: long non-coding RNA, 1703 nt
Organism: Equus asinus (donkey)
Lineage: Eukaryota; Metazoa; Chordata; Mammalia; Perissodactyla; Equidae
Source: Ensembl